This 790-nucleotide ribosomal RNA is filed under the name uncultured bacterium. Its description in RNAcentral is "bacterial SSU rRNA". It matches the Rfam family "Bacterial small subunit ribosomal RNA", at positions 600 to 1391 of the family's 1533-position model. The record is from RNAcentral.
UCCCCGGGCUCANCCUGGGAACCGCGUUCUGAACUGGGUGACUAGAGUGUGUCAGAGGGAGGUAGAAUUCCACGUGUAGCAGUGAAAUGCGUAGAGAUGUGGAGGAAUACCGAUGGCGAAGGCAGCNUCCUGGGAUAACACUGACGUUCAUGCCCGAAAGCGUGGGUAGCAAACAGAAUUAGAUACCCUGGUAGUCCACGCCCUAAACGAUGUCGAUUAGCUGUUGGGCAGCAUGACUGCUUAGUAGCGAAGCUAACGCGUGAAAUCGACCGCCUGGGGAGUACGGUCGCAAGAUUAAAACUCAAAGGAAUUGACGGGGACCCGCACAAGCGGUGGAUGAUGUGGAUUAAUUCGAUGCAACGCGAAGAACCUUACCUGGUCUUGACAUGUACGGAAUCCUCCAGAGACGGAGGAGUGCCUUCGGGAGCCGUAACACAGGUGCUGCAUGGCUGUCGUCAGCUCGUGUCGUGAGAUGUUGGGUUAAGUCCCGCAACGAGCGCAACCCUUGUCAUUAGUUGCCAUCAUUAAGUUGGGCACUCUAAUGAGACUGCCGGUGACAAGCCGGGGGAAGGUGGGGAUGACGUCAAGUCCUCAUGGCCCUUAUGACCAGGGCUUCACACGUCAUACAAUGGUCGGUACAGAGGGUAGCCAAGCCGCGAGGCGGAGCCAAUCUCACAAAACCGAUCGUAGUCCGGAUUGCACUCUGCAACUCGAGUGCAUGAAGUCGGAAUCGCUAGUAAUCGCAGGUCAGCAUACUGCGGUGAAUACGUUCCCGGGUCUUGUACACACC